GACAGGGGGGGCAAGCGUUAUUCAUCGUGACUGGGCGUAAAGGGUGCGUAGGUUGCUAAUUAAAUAAGUGGUAAAUUCUGGGGAUAGACCUCAGUGCAUUACUAAUAACAUUAUUUGGGCUAGAGUUUAGGUAAAGUUGGUGGAAUUUUUUAUGGAGUCGUAACAAGCCAAUAUAUUAAAAGGAACACCGGAGGUGGAGACAGCUGACUAACCAAAACUGACACUGAGGCACGAAGGCGUGGGGAGCAAACAGG
RNAcentral lists this ribosomal RNA (254 nucleotides) under uncultured bacterium. RNAcentral's name for it is "partial 16S ribosomal RNA". It matches the Rfam family "Bacterial small subunit ribosomal RNA", at positions 524 to 776 of the family's 1533-position model. The record is from RNAcentral.